RNAcentral lists this ribosomal RNA (404 nucleotides) under uncultured bacterium. RNAcentral's name for it is "bacterial SSU rRNA". It matches the Rfam family "Bacterial small subunit ribosomal RNA", at positions 355 to 776 of the family's 1533-position model. The record is from RNAcentral.
UGGGGAAUAUUGGGCAAUGGGGGAAACCCUGACCCAGCAACGCCGCGUGAAGGAAGAAGGUUUUCGGAUCGUAAACUUCUAUCCUUGGUGAAAAUAAUGAUGGUAGCCAAGAAGGAAGCCCCGGCUAACUACGUGCCAGCAGCCGCGGUAAUACGUAGGGGGCAAGCGUUGUCCGGAAUGAUUGGGCGUAAAGGGCGCGUAGGCGGCCUGAUAAGUUUGAAGUGAAAGUCCUUCUUUUAAGGAGGGAACUGCUUUGAAAACUGUUGGGCUUGAGUGCAGGAGAGGUAAGCGGAAUUCCCGGUGUAGCGGUGAAAUGCGUAGAGAUCGGGAGGAACACCAGUGGCGAAGGCGGCUUACUGGACUGUUACUGACGCUGAGGCGCGAAAGUGUGGGGAGCAAACAGG